AGCAGAAUGCGGCUCCAGUCCAAAGCAACACUCUGCAGAAGAGGAGCAGAAAGCACAGAUCUCCGCAGAUGUUUUGGAGAAGGACGUCAGUGCAGCAGACGACAGCAGGACAUUGAUGCCACCGCCAACAGCUCCAAUCAGAAAGAGACCGAGAGAAGAGA
Molecule: long non-coding RNA, 161 nt
Organism: Sinocyclocheilus rhinocerous
Lineage: Eukaryota; Metazoa; Chordata; Actinopteri; Cypriniformes; Cyprinidae
Exons: 3
Source: RefSeq, a predicted model, not a curated record